This 1114-nucleotide long non-coding RNA is filed under the name Populus trichocarpa (black cottonwood). Its description in RNAcentral is "long non-coding RNA (PTRI_LNC003148)". Lineage: Eukaryota; Viridiplantae; Streptophyta; Magnoliopsida; Malpighiales; Salicaceae. The record is from RNAcentral.
AGGUCUCGGAAAUUAGCACACUACAGGAAAGCCAAUUUAUUAUUGUGAAUGGAUAUCAUUGCAUCUCUUCGGAUGCUCAUAGAUAGGCCUCUUUAGUUACUAUGUUUGUUGAGGAAGUUGAUCAUUAACUCAUUCACCUGCUCUGGAAGUUUCUCAUGAACAAAAUGGUUCCCUUCUUCUACAAAGACGGUUUCCAAAUCUGGAACUCUAUGCUUCAGUAUGUCACUCUUUAUGUAGUCUGCAAUGCCAGGGAAACUAAGAGCAUAGUCCUUCUCCCCCAUAAUCAGCAACGUUGGUGCUGUUAGAGAAUAAUAUAAAUCAUAUCCUGGGACCUCACCUAACAGCUUAAGCUAUUGGGUUGAGAUGGUUCUUUGACAUGGUAUCAGAGCCUUGAUGACCAAGCGGUCACGAGUUCAAAUCUCACCAUCCCCAUUUAUUUGAUAAAAAUUAAGCACAAGGUAAUGUGGGCCUGUGCAAGUUUCAAGCCCAAAGGGCUUUCACUUGAGGGGGUGUGUUAGAGAAUAAUAUAAAUCAUAUCCUGGGACCUCACCUAACAGCUUAAGCUAUUGGGUUGAGAUGGUUCUUUGACAGGUGCUACAACUUUUGGAUUAGUUAUUCCACAGCAAUCUAUGCCUAAAGUCCUGCACAGAAACUCUAACCAUUAACGUUCACUGUUAUUACUCUCUAGAGCUAAAUGCUUUGGUUUUCAGUCCCAGGAGUGUGCAAUUAGCAAGAAAAAUGGAAUUUUUUUUAUCAUUGCCUAGAAUAGUUUAAGUCACGUGAUGACAACGUAAUUAAAUAGUGAAUUUUUUUAUGUUUUUCCAUCGUUCUAGCCGUUGGAGGUUAAUUUUCUUUAACAUGGAGUUAUAUGGUUACCUGUAUGGAACCUGCAAUGAAUAGCGAAAUCCAGACUUCUCGUACAAGGAUGCAUAGACUGCAAGAUCUUCUUCAGAGAACCAUGGUGGUAGAGGAGUAGACGGGUCAACCAUGUCCAUGAUCUCUUGGUCCUCUCUAGCUGUUGGUGGCUUAGUUCCAGAGAAGAGAAUGUAGAUGUUUUUUAUCACUGUCUUAACAUCAAAUCGCCCGAAAUCUGCUUCAGCUCUGCCUGGCUCCU